AGGUUUUUUUUUUUUUUUUUUAAUUGAUAGCUUUUAUGGAAUGCAAAUGUUUGUUCUUAGUCUGGGAGUGGACAAAUGCUGAUCUGAGAUUUUUUUUUUCUCUUGUAAGAUUCAAUGCAAGUAUUACUUCCUAAAUAUGCCGUGAUAACUGUAGUAAAGAAAAAGUGUUUUGAGGGUUUGUAGAAAUUAUUUUGUGAUUUUAGGUUUCCUUUUUCAGAUCAAGAUAGGUUUUGGGAAUAGAAAUGGGGAUUCAAACAAUGGGAUCUCAAAGUAAUGGCCAACAAUCUCAUCUACAGCCAUGUCAGUUGACGAGGCAAAAUUCCUGGUAUAGCUUAACUCUUAAUGAAGUGGAAAACCAAUUAGGAAAUUUAGGAAAACCUUUGGGCAGCAUGAACCUGGAUGAGCUUCUUAAAAAUGUAUGGAGCAAUGAGGAAAAUCAAUCAAUGGGGAUGGGCAUUGAAAAUACCUCCGCAUCUUCCCUUCAGCGGCAGGCCAGCCUAACAUUGGCUAGGGCUUUGAGCGGCAAGACAGUGGAUCAGGUUUGGAAGGAGAUUCUGCAAGGGCAGAAGAAGAGGUUUGGUCAUGACAUGAAAGCUCAGGAAAGAGAAUCUAUACUUGGUGAAAUAACUUUGGAGGACUUCUUGGUACAGGCAGGGCUUUUUACUGAAGCAUCAUUAAGUCCCUCUAUGGAAGUGGUCUCUGUUGAUGUGGUGGCCUCUCAGUGUUUCCCACAGAAAAUGGUCUUGUCCCCAUCAUCAUCAAGAGGCAAUUUAUCAGAUACAACAGCAUCAGGAAGGAAAAGGGAUGCCCCAGAUGCUCUUGAGAAAAGUAUAGAGAGGAGGUUGAGGAGAAAGAUAAAGAACAGGGAAUCUGCUGCCCGUUCACGGGCUAGAAAACAGGCUUAUCAUAAUGAGCUGGUGAGCAAAGUAUCACGUUUGGAGGAGGAGAAUAUAAAGCUGAAGAAGGAGAAGGAAUUUGAGAAGAUGUUUCCAUGCGAACCUUCACCAGAUAUGAAAUAUCAGCUUAGAAGAACGAGUUCAGCCUCCUUCUGAUACUUGUUUCUUAAAUGAGAGUUUUGUAGUUCUUACACCACAGCUACUCCUGGGUUAAGAGGGGAAACUAUAUAUGGGGAUUUUAUCAGCAAGUUCCUUUACUCCAACUGCUGAUGUGACUCCACCCUGCCCUCCAUUAGGCUUUGGUUCCAUGUAAAUCCAAGGUUAGCUUGACAUUUUAUACAGCACAAAACGUGCUAUGUUCAUAUGACUAUAUUUUGCCUUGAUUAACUUGAAAUUGAAAUUGGAAGUGAAGAAACAUUUGGCUUUAUUUGUGCGUUACAGUUUUGAAAGGUUUGUACAAGCAACAUGCAUUAUGAAAUUGUUUAACCUUGAGAUGACGAUUUUUAAGUUUGAUUGGAACUCAAAUUUGA
This 1426-nucleotide unclassified non-coding RNA is filed under the name Hevea brasiliensis (rubber tree). The record is from RNAcentral. Lineage: Eukaryota; Viridiplantae; Streptophyta; Magnoliopsida; Malpighiales; Euphorbiaceae.